GAUGAACGCUGGCGGCGUGCCUAAUACAUGCAAGUCGAGCGAACAGACGAGGAGCUUGCUCCUCUGACGUUAGCGGCGGACGAGUGAGUAACACGUGGAUAACCUACCUAUAAGACUGGGAUAACUUCGGGAAACCGGAGCUAAUACCGGAUAAUAUAUUGAACCGCAUGGUUCAAUAGUGAAAGACGGUUUUGCUGUCACUUAUAGAUGGAUCCGCGCCGCAUUAGCUAGUUGGUAAGGUAACGGCUUACCAAGGCAACGAUGCGUAGCCGACCUGAGAGGAUGAUCGGCCACACUGGAACUGAGACACGGUCCAGACUCCUACGGGAGGCAGCAGUAGGGAAUCUUCCGCAAUGGGCGAAAGCCUGACGGAGCAACGUCGCGUGAGUGAUGAAGGUCUUCGGAUCGUAAAACUCUGUUAUUAGGGAAGAACAAAUGUGUAAGUAACUAUGCACGUCUUGACGGUACCUAAUCAGAAAGCCACGGCUAACUACGUG
Molecule: ribosomal RNA, 497 nt
Filed under: uncultured bacterium
Lineage: Bacteria
Description: partial 16S ribosomal RNA
Rfam family: Bacterial small subunit ribosomal RNA
Source: RNAcentral